This 253-nucleotide ribosomal RNA is filed under the name uncultured bacterium. Its description in RNAcentral is "partial 16S ribosomal RNA". It matches the Rfam family "Bacterial small subunit ribosomal RNA", at positions 524 to 776 of the family's 1533-position model. The record is from RNAcentral.
UACGUAGGUGGCAAGCGUUAUCCGGAUUUAUUGGGCGUAAAGGGAACGCAGGCGGUCUUUUAAGUCUGAUGUGAAAGCCUUCGGCUUAACCGGAGUAGUGCAUUGGAAACUGGGAGACUUGAGUGCAGAAGAGGAGAGUGGAACUCCAUGUGUAGCGGUGAAAUGCGUAGAUAUAUGGAAGAACACCAGAGGCGAAAGCGGCUCUCUGGUCUGUAACUGACGCUGAGGUUCGAAAGCGUGGGUAGCAAACAGG